Molecule: ribosomal RNA, 161 nt
Filed under: uncultured bacterium
Lineage: Bacteria
Description: partial 16S ribosomal RNA
Rfam family: Bacterial small subunit ribosomal RNA
Source: RNAcentral
CCUACGGGAGGCAGCAGUGAAGAAUAUUGGACAAUGGGCGCAAGCCUGAUCCAGCCAUGCCGCGUGCAGGAUGACGGUCCUAUGGAUUGUAAACUGCUUUUGUACAGGAAGAAACACUCGGACGUGUCCGAGCUUGACGGUACUUAAGAAUAACAUCCGCC